GGAAGGGUACGAGCAGCUUCGGCAAGCGCCGGAACAAGACGCACACGCUCUGCAUCCGCUGCGGCCGCCGCAGCUUCCUCCUCCAGAAGAGCACCUGCUCCUCCUGCGGUUACACCGCCGCCCGCAUCCGCAAGUAAGGACAAGCCUCCACGUCGAUAGAAGCAAAUCAAUCCAUUUCGUUUGACAAGCAUUUUGGAUUUUCCAGUCUCAAAGCAUUCCAAAAGGAAGUCUUGGAUGCUUGGUUUGCUCACGGGGAUUGUGUUCUCCUAGCAGCCA
Molecule: long non-coding RNA, 276 nt
Organism: Zea mays
Lineage: Eukaryota; Viridiplantae; Streptophyta; Magnoliopsida; Poales; Poaceae
Exons: 3
Source: RefSeq, a predicted model, not a curated record